GAUGAACGCUGGCGGCGUGCCUAAUACAUGCAAGUCGAGCGAACAGACGAGGAUCUUGCUCCUCUGACGUUAGCGGCGGACGGGUGAGUAACACGUGGAUAACCUACCUAUAAGACUGGGAUAACUUCGGGAAACCGGAGCUAAUACCGGGUAAUAUAUUGAACCGCAUGGUUCAAUAGUGAAAGACGGUUUUGCUGUCACUUAUAGAUGGAUCCGCGCCGCAUUAGCUAGUUGGUAAGGUAACGGCUUACCAAGGCAACGAUGCGUAGCCGACCUGAGAGGGUGAUCGGCCACACUGGAACGGAGACACGGUCCAGACUCCUACGGGAGGCAGCAGUAGGGAAUCUUCCGCAAUGGGCGAAAGCCUGACGGAGCAACGCCGCGUGAGGGAUGAAGGUCUUCGGAUCGUAAAACUCUGUUAUUAGGGAAGAACAAAUGUGUAAGUAACUAUGCACGUCUUGACGGUACCUAAUCAGAAAGCCACGGCUAACUACGUG
RNAcentral lists this ribosomal RNA (497 nucleotides) under uncultured bacterium. RNAcentral describes it as "partial 16S ribosomal RNA". It matches the Rfam family "Bacterial small subunit ribosomal RNA", at positions 28 to 507 of the family's 1533-position model. The record is from RNAcentral.